Molecule: ribosomal RNA, 505 nt
Filed under: Pseudomonas aeruginosa
Lineage: Bacteria; Pseudomonadati; Pseudomonadota; Gammaproteobacteria; Pseudomonadales; Pseudomonadaceae
Description: bacterial SSU rRNA
Rfam family: Bacterial small subunit ribosomal RNA
Source: RNAcentral
AAGUCGUGACAGGUGUAACCGAGAAUUGCUCCUGGAUUCAGCGGCGGACGGGUGAGUAAUGCCUAGGAAUCUGCCUGGUAGUGGGGGAUAACGUCCGGAAACGGGCGCUAAUACCGCAUACGUCCUGAGGGAGAAAGUGGGGGAUCUUCGGACCUCACGCUAUCAGAUGAGCCUAGGUCGGAUUAGCUAGUUGGUGGGGUAAAGGCCUACCAAGGCGACGAUCCGUAACUGGUCUGAGAGGAUGAUCAGUCACACUGGAACUGAGACACGGUCCAGACUCCUACGGGAGGCAGCAGUGGGGAAUAUUGGACAAUGGGCGAAAGCCUGAUCCAGCCAUGCCGCGUGUGUGAAGAAGGUCUUCGGAUUGUAAAGCACUUUAAGUUGGGAGGAAGGGCAGUAAGUUAAUACCUUGCUGUUUUGACGUUACCAACAGAAUAAGCACCGGCUAACUUCGUGCCAGCAGCCGCGGUAAUACGAAAGGGUGCAAGCGUUAUUCGGAAUUACU